GACAUAGGUGCCGAGCGUUAGGCGGAAUCACUGGGCUUAAAGCGUGUGUAGGCGGAUGGGUAAGUACCUUGUGAAAUCCCACGGCUCAACCGUGGAACUGCUCGGUAUACUGCUCGUCUUGAGCCAACUAGGGGCGACCGGAACAAACGGUGGAGCGGUGAAAUGCGUAGAUAUCGUUUGGAACGCCGAUGGUGAAAACAGGUCGCUGGGGUUGUGCUGACGCUGAGACACGAAAGCCAGGGGAGCGAACGGG
This 253-nucleotide ribosomal RNA is filed under the name uncultured bacterium. RNAcentral's name for it is "partial 16S ribosomal RNA". It matches the Rfam family "Bacterial small subunit ribosomal RNA", at positions 524 to 776 of the family's 1533-position model. The record is from RNAcentral.